This 570-nucleotide ribosomal RNA is filed under the name Triticum aestivum (bread wheat). RNAcentral's name for it is "partial small subunit ribosomal RNA". Lineage: Eukaryota; Viridiplantae; Streptophyta; Magnoliopsida; Poales; Poaceae. The record is from RNAcentral.
AUGGAGGAUGUGAUCUACGAGGGUGGGCAGGGCCGUGCCUACGACCCCGACGAGACCCAAAGUCAGGAUGGCCGCGCCCAGUACGUUGCCGAUGAAGAGGCCGACGACCGUGCUGACUACGACCAUGGUGACUCGUGGCAUGAAGACGAUGACAUCUAUUGUGAAGGUGAUGGUGAUGAAGAAGAAGGCAAUGACAUUUAUAUUGGUGGCGAGCCAUUGUUCAUCGACGAGCUCACCCAAAGAGCAGAAGCACAAAAGAGGAGGAAGAGCAUUCGCACGGGUUCAUAUACACAAGAGGAGGACAAGUUGAUUUUCUAAUGUUGAAUGGAGAUUAGCCAAGAUCUGAGGACCGGCGCGCAACAAAAGGGCCUUGUUUUUUGGAUGAGAGUCCACAAAACAUUCCAUGAAAGGAAGAUGUUUGAGCCCUACCAAAUUACAAGCAACCGUGGCAUCACCUCGAUUCAAAAGAGGUGGUUGUUCAUCAAACAAGAGUGCAACAAGUAUUGCGCCGCAUUUGAGAGCGUUGAAGCAUGGCUCGUGAGUGGUCUCAGCGUUGGGGACAUGGUAUAA